Molecule: long non-coding RNA, 1039 nt
Filed under: Oncorhynchus kisutch (coho salmon)
Lineage: Eukaryota; Metazoa; Chordata; Actinopteri; Salmoniformes; Salmonidae
Description: lncRNA (ENSOKIG00005050470.1)
Source: RNAcentral
CUAUGGGGUGCCAUUUGGAACAUGUAGUGUAUUAAAUAUCUCUAUGUUUCUUUGAAGGGGAAUAGAGGGACAGCUUGGCGCAACGGCAAGCCUGGACACAGAGGGAACAAGGGUCGCGUGGGUCAGAGAGGGAAUGUUGGCCAGCCUGGUCAACCGGGCUUGCCAGGCCCUCCCGGGACAGAGGGACCAGAAGGAAAGCCUGGUACACAGGUUCCCAUUCUAUAUCAUAUUUCAAUACAGUGACCACACCCCUGAAAACACUGAGCUUGUAUAUACUGCAUACACUGAUGUACACAAAAUAGACUGCCAAUCAACAGUUUUUCUUUUGUCAGAUUUUUUCCUGUCUGUACUGCAUACAUUGGCAGAUUGUUGAGAAAAUAUAUGAAAGUAUUGCUCAAGAAAAGUAUAGGUGCAAUCAGAAAGGAUUAUAGUAAAAUGUCUCCUGAGUAGGGUUGUCCUGUGUUUUCAGAAUUCAGAUGGAAAAUUCCUGGAAGUUACCGAAUUUUGCAUGCAACCCUACUCCUGAGGGUUUCUGUAGAAUCCGAUAAUGAGUUGUGAACAACUGUAGUCAUUCUGGCUCUAAACAGCAGAUGGCGAUCUUCACAACCCUGAUUCGUAUGACAUAUUCACGAGCGAUUGUCAUUGCAUGUGGGGCAGACAAACCGGAAUAUGCAUUCUCAACUUUAAUUCAUCCCUCCUCAAUUUCAACCUCAUGUCAUUACAUUCUAACAUGAAUAUGACCAGAUGAAUGGCAUUUGUCUCCUUGUUUAAAAUGUGUCGUUAUGGAGAUACUGUAUUUGCAAAUGGGCAGCGCUAUGUCUCUUAUUCACACUAAUGCUUGUGUAUACAGUGCAUGACCUCUGUUGGUGUCGAUUGAAUUGACACUCGUUUCUCAUGUGUUGCAGGGUCUCUCAGGUUCGGUGGCAAUAGCUGGCAGUAAAGGCCUAAAGGUAAACCAAGAAGAUGCUUUAACAGUAUACAUAGGCUUAUCGUAGAGACUCAUACUCAAUACAUGUGGUUCACGUAAAGGUCACUAUGA